CAUGAUUCCAUUUCUCAACAUCUACUAUCUACUAUCUACUAAAGGAUGAUGUUGUUGCCUUUGACACUACAAAUUAACACUACAACUUUUAUACUUUCCAAUAACUAUUUGACACUCGGCACCUUUCUCCAUUCCAAAUGAACUUACACGUUUUUGUUUUUACACUCUCUCUCUCUCACACAUUUUGAAUCAGUUUUCUCUCGUCUCUCUCUUUCUCUCCUUCCCUCUUCUCUCUUCUCUCCCCUCAAACCCUAAAAACAUCUGAACAAAACCCUGAAAUCUCUAUAACUCUUUCUCUGUGUUACUUCAUUACUUUUGCAUUUGAUGAGAAGACACUGUCACAUAAACAUGAAGGUGAUAACUGCAUACUUGCUCGCCGUUCUCGGAGGCAACAACACCCCUCCGCCAAAACCGUCAAGGACACCCUUGGUUCUGUUGGAGCAAAAAACCUAGACCGUGUGAAAGCUCUUAGAGUAAAUGUUGGAACUGAACUUGAUGCAGAUCUUGGCCCGGUUAUCAGCAAACAUGUUAUAUGGUGAGAUCUGGAAAUCAAAAUCAGAUUUUGGAUAUGUGGUUUAAGUUGACAUAUUUUUGUUUUUCAGGUAACAAUGAUAUCUAAAUCAAAAUUAGAACUUUUUCUAUAAAAAAUAUCCAUGGUUUGGCUGCAACUGGCCUGGUUUUAUUGUUGGUUUAGGUAUGUAGUUUGAUGUUGAUAGCCCACACUAGCUUUGCCAAGGUAUAUGGCUUCAUUGUUUCCUUAUCUUAUUUUUCUACUUGUCUGUUUUCCACUAUUUAUAAAAAUUUGACUUUUUUGUUUUGGCUGGAAGAAUAAAUGAUGCUAAAAUAGUUAUACACUUUUUUGUUGAUUUACUCUAACAAUACUCAUGUGUAAUUGUAAGUGAUGAUAAAACUCAUGCUACUGUUUUGCCAAUCUUUAAAAACUUAGUCUCUUACCAAUCUUCAACAACUUGAUCUUUGGACAAUUUUUGAGAAUCCGCUCUUUUGCAAAUCUUUAAAAUGAUUUUACAGAAGUUAUCACAUACUAACUUAGAUAUAUUAUCUUUGUGAUCAUGUUUUGUUUACCUCACUACCCAUGUCAUGUUUAAAUGGUGUGGUUUCACUAUAAAUAAGUUGUUAAUUUUAUGUCACUUAAAUCAAAUUUAAUUACAAAUACCAACUUUUGUGUAAAAGCAUUAUAGGUUUUGUGAUCAUGGCAAGAAAACACAUAUAAACUUGACAUAGAUGGUUGAUGCAAGGUUUGAAUUGAAACAAUUACUCUCUUAGAAUCUAUUACAGCUCUCUCCGUGGAACAUGGUUUCGACAUCCAGGCAUGAAUACAAUUACCUUUUCUCAAAUAAUCUCACAAGUUGAAAGAUACACUGGACUAACGAUGGAUAUCUUUGUAUAAUUUUCUCCACAUGGAUUUAAAACAUUUCAAAAAGUCAUACAUUUUUUAACUUGUACCCGACAAUGUAUAGUAGGAAGUGAAAUAACUUGAUUUUAAAUAAACAAUUACCUUUAUGCAUAUUCAUGGAAAUGGUGUAAGAGCAAGAUUGGUGGUUUCAACUACACUCUUGCGCAAUGGAUUACAAAUCCAAGGGACUGUUUGGGAAGAUAAUGCUGAAGGUUAAGAGUGGUUCGCAGGAAGUAGCUCAUUAGAUGUUUUGUAGUUGGAGGUCUCCUUAAUGGUGCAAGCAGUGUCGGACUGUUUGCAGCAUUUACAAAGUUGGAGAUUUGCAGAUCUUGCAGAGUUUGUCCAAGUCUCCCUUAUGUGCAGAGUUUAUCCGAAGAUAUUUUCGGUGCAAGUUCUUUUAGUCUAGGUGAUUUUUACAUUGCUCUGUCUGAAAGGAUAGGCAUUUUGCUGUCAUGAUGUGUUGAAUUGAUUACCAGUUAGAAUUAAAUGUAUUUGACUUGGUAGUAAUGAGAUAGGUUGUUUAGUUGUUGUUUGUAUUUGGUGGUGUGUUUGGGAGCUUGCUGUUGUAUUUGGCAUGGCUAAUGAAAUUUAAUAAAUUGGUGUCUUUGGCUUUUAAAAAGAAAAAUCCAACUUAUUACUUAAAUUUCAAAAUAAAUAUUCUGAAUCAGGCUUUGUAGAUUUUUCAAAGUUGGUAGCUUUUCGGGUCAAUAAAAAAUUAGAAAAUUUAAAAUGUUGCAUCAGGAAUAAGAGAUAAAUUUGAAAAACUUGACUCUUGUAAUAUUAAUUUAUGGUUUGCUAAUCUUAAACUAGAUAUUCAUUGUAAUUCAUUGAGAGCUAGGUAAAAUUGUACCAUGCUUUGAGAUGGAGUCAAAUUGACAAAGAAGAUACUAAUAAUUAAAAAUUAAAAAUAUAUUUCAUAUGACUAAAAAUAGUAU
Long non-coding RNA from Vicia villosa (hairy vetch), 2349 nucleotides. RefSeq lists it as uncharacterized. NCBI's taxonomy places the organism in Eukaryota, Viridiplantae, Streptophyta, Magnoliopsida, Fabales, Fabaceae. The record is from RefSeq and is a predicted model, not a curated record. The transcript is spliced from 3 exons.